RNAcentral lists this ribosomal RNA (468 nucleotides) under uncultured bacterium. Its description in RNAcentral is "partial 16S ribosomal RNA". It matches the Rfam family "Bacterial small subunit ribosomal RNA", at positions 28 to 507 of the family's 1533-position model. The record is from RNAcentral.
GACGAACGCUGGCGGCGUGCUUAACACAUGCCAGUCGAACGGAAAGGCCCUGCUUUUGUGGGGUGCUCGAGUGGCGAACGGGUGAGUAACACGUGAGUAACCUGCCCCUGACUUUGGGAUAACUUCAGGAAACUGGGGCUAAUACCGGAUAGGAGCUCCUGCUGCAUGGUGGGGGUUGGAAAGUUUCGGCGGUUGGGGAUGGACUCGCGGCUUAUCAGCUUGUUGGUGGGGUAGUGGCUUACCAAGGCUUUGACGGGUAGCCGGCCUGAGAGGGUGACCGGCCACAUUGGGACUGAGAUACGGCCCAGACUCCUACGGGAGGCAGCAGUGGGGAAUAUUGCACAAUGGGCGGAAGCCUGAUGCAGCAACGCCGCGUGCGGGAUGACGGCCUUCGGGUUGUAAACCGCUUUCGCCUGUGACGAAGCGUGAGUGACGGUAAUGGGUAAAGAAGCACCGGCUAACUACGUG